Long non-coding RNA from Vombatus ursinus (common wombat), 2425 nucleotides. The record is from Ensembl. NCBI's taxonomy places the organism in Eukaryota, Metazoa, Chordata, Mammalia, Diprotodontia, Vombatidae.
UGUUCCUCUAUUCCUCGGCUCGCCUACAGCUGGAGGCGGGCUGGGGGUGGAGGAGCUGCGGGAAGCAGUAGGGGGGACGGGCAGCUGAAGCUGGGGCAGGGGAACUUUUCUCUGGAGUGGUAGGAAGAGAGGUGAAUGGGUCUUAUCUUCCCAUUUCUUGCGGGAAAACCUAAAGAACACUUCUUCCUGUGGAAAACAGACAUUACUCGCCAGAGCCACCCACUUAAGGAAGCCAGACUUCAGAGUUUUGUUUUUGUUUUUCUCAUGCCCAGGAGGUGUCUGGAGAACCUAUGACAAAAAAGACUCCUGAAGCCUGAUACCUCAACAUCUCCACCUGCCGGUGCAGCUGAUCUGACCUGAUGGCUUAUUAUUUCUUACUGAGAAUAGCUAAGGCCUUUUGGCUCUUGACUGUUUUGAAUGCCUUGGAAAAUUCAGAGUUUGCAAAGUUUGAAUGCCAGAAAGAAGUAUCUGCUUGCAGAAAUGACCAGGUUGAGAUAAUCUGCAACAGCACCAUGGACUUUGAUGGUAUAGACUUGUAUUUUCGUAAAGACAAGAAGGACAAAGACAAACUCCUCUUCAGCAUGACCACAGUAGGAGAGUCUCCCCUUCAGCAUGGGAUGCAUCUCAAAUUUAAGAACCAAGAAGUCACGUUGGUGAUUCAGAACAUCCAAUUUUCCCAUCAUGGAAUCUACCGGUGGCAUCUUUCAGGGCACGGGUCCUCAAAUAAGUUCACUACACUAACUGUUUCAGAACCCCCUAUGAUCUCCAAGGAAAAUGGCUUACUGAUCUGCCGAGCAACCAGGGUUAAGGCAGGGAGAAGAAUCAUCUGGUCCAAUGACCUGCCAAGAGUGAAGACAGAGUUCACAUCCAAUCAGGAUGCCACAGACCUAUUCAAUCUCAGCAGCUCUCAAGUUUGGAAUGAUAGUUUCUACAGUAAUCCACCAUGCUGUAAAGUCGUGGAUGAGAAGGGCUCCCAAGAACUUUGUUCACAAACUUGCUAUACCAGUGCCAUCAUGGAAAAGUCCUCAGGUACUCCAGCGACAAAUCAAAACAAUACACAGUGGCCUAUAAUCAUGGCAAUUGUUCUGAUUUUGGCUAUUCUGAUUGCUGUCUUCCCAUAUCUAAAAAAGAGACCAGUGUUGAGUAGUCGUUCAUGCAUGACUGUCCUCUAAUCAUAUUGUUUUCCAUCAUCUAUGAUAUGUCCAACUUUAUUUUUGUUUUGGCGAUGCAAUUGGAAUUAAGUGACUUGCCCAGGGUCACACAGCUAGUAAGCAUCAAGCAGCUGGUCUGAGGCCAGAUUUGAACUCAGGUCCUCCUCACUCCAGGUCCAGUGCUCUAUACUGUGCUACUUAGCCGCCCUGAUACUUCGGACUUUUCAAUUAAUCAUUCUGUCUUAUGCUUGCUCUUCAGACUUUUUAACUAAUCAUUCUUUUUUUUUUCUUUUUUUUGGUUUAGGCAACGGGGUUAAGUGACCUGCCUAGGGUCACACAGCUAGUGAGUGUUAUGUGUUGGAGGUCAGAUUUGAACUCAGGUCCUCCUGAAUCCAGCGCCAGUGCUCUAUGCACUGCGCCACCUAGCUGCCCCCUUAACUAAUCAUUCGGUCUUAUGCUUCCUGUCCUCUGUUCUCUUGUACUGCCCAAAACUAUAUGAAUUCUAUUUUGGUGUUUAAUUAGAUAUUUUUGUGUUCUUUUUCAAAAAAUUUUAGUUACGUGUUCAGUUUGUUGAUCUGAUGUUUCCCUCUUUUACUGAUGUAAUUUGUAAUUAUGUUCAUAUAGUUCCUGGGUUUGUCUUGGCAGGUAGACUCCAAAAUAUAUUAUAAUGUCUACAAUUAUUUUCAAUGGAAUUUCUCUUUCUAUCUCUUCCUGCUGGGUUUUGUUAGUAAUAUAUGGAAAUGCUAAUGAUUUAUGUGGGUUUAUUUUAUGUCCUGUAACUUUGCUAAAGUUAAUUGUUUCAACUAGUCUUUUUAGUUGAUUCUUUAGAGUUCUCUAAAUAUACCAGCAUAUUAUCUGCAAAGAGUAAUAGUUUUGUUUCCUCAUUGCCUAUUCUUAUUUCUUCAAUUUUUACUGCUAUAGCCAGCAUUUCUAGUACAAUAUUGAAUGAUAGUGGCAAUAAUGGACUUUCUUAUUUCACCCUUGAUCUAAGGAUUCUAGUUUAUCCCCAUUACAAAUAAUGCUUGCUCUUGGUUUUAGAUAGAUACUACUUAUCAUUUUAAGAAAAGCUCCAUUUAGAUAUUUUACAUGAUUUCACAUGUAUAACCUAAAUCAGAUUGCUUACUGUCUCAAGGAGAGGGCAGGGAAGGAAGGGAAGAAUAGAAUUUGGAACACAAGACUUAAAAAAAUGAAUGUUAAAAUUACUUUUAUAUGUAAUAGGAGAAAAAUUAAAUGUUCUUAUUAAAAAAUAAAAUGAGCAUAAAAAGAAAAGCUCA